CCUUCCCUAUAGUAGAGGAUAGCCCGGCGAAAGUCGGAUUAAUACUCUAUGUUGUAUUUAGAGGACAUCUGAAGAUACCAAAGGUUUACCGCUAUAGGAUGGGGAUGCGUCUGAUUAGGUUGUUGGCGGGGUAACGGCCCACCAAGCCAACGAUCAGUAGGGGUUCUGAGAGGAAGGUCCCCCACAUUGGAACUGAGACACGGUCCAAACUCCUACGGGAGGCAGCAGUGAGGAAUAUUGGUCAAUGGACGAGAGUCUGAACCAGCCAAGUAGCGUGCAGGAUGACGGCCCUAUGGGUUGUAAACUGCUUUUAUAUGGGGAUAAAGUGAGGGACGUGUCCCUUUUUGUAGGUACCGUAUGAAUAAGGACCGGCUAAUUCCGUGCCAGCAGCUGC
Molecule: ribosomal RNA, 394 nt
Filed under: uncultured bacterium
Lineage: Bacteria
Description: bacterial SSU rRNA
Rfam family: Bacterial small subunit ribosomal RNA
Source: RNAcentral